UUAUAUUCUAUGGCCACGUGCAUUGGUGCGGUUAUCAGAUCAGGCCGACAGGAAGGGAAAGAAGGUAGCUUCACCUCAGGGAGGCCGACGUGCCCAAGUAAAUGUUUCUACGGCAAAGUCUCCACUCAUUACGGAUAUGGAGGUGGUGCAAGGCCUUACUCAACCGUGCUUCUGGCUACAUGAGUGCGUUAGCGAUGCAGACGAUGAAGCAAUGAUUGAGAUUAAGUUGUCGGACCACCAAUUCCACUACAUUGAGGAAACAUCGACCUUUAUUUCUAAGGCUAUUAUACAAUGAUUUGAGGCGAUCUAGUCAGCCAAUGUUUGGUUGGUUAUGUCCAAGCUUUGUACGAGA
Long non-coding RNA from Beta vulgaris subsp. vulgaris (sugar beet), 352 nucleotides. RefSeq lists it as uncharacterized. The record is from RefSeq and is a predicted model, not a curated record. The transcript has 3 exons. Lineage: Eukaryota; Viridiplantae; Streptophyta; Magnoliopsida; Caryophyllales; Amaranthaceae.